This 470-nucleotide ribosomal RNA is filed under the name uncultured bacterium. RNAcentral describes it as "bacterial SSU rRNA". It matches the Rfam family "Bacterial small subunit ribosomal RNA", at positions 29 to 517 of the family's 1533-position model. The record is from RNAcentral.
AACGAACGCUGGCGGCAGGCUUAACACAUGCAAGUCGAACGCCCUAGCAAUAGGGAGUGGCGCACGGGUGAGUAACGCGUGGGAAUAUACCGUUUAGUGGGGAAUAACUCCGGGGAAACUGGAGCUAAUACCGCAUACGCCCUUCGGGGAAGAUUAUCGCUAAACGAUUAGCCCGCGUGAGAUUAGGUAGUUGGUGGGGUAAGUGGCCUACCAAGCCGACGAUCUCUAGCUGGUCUGAGAGGAUGAUCAGCCACACUGGAACUGAGACACGGUCCAGACUCCUACGGGAGGGCAGCAGUGGGGGAAUAUUGGACAAUGGGGGAAACCCGUGAUCCAGCCAUGCCGCGUGAGUGAUGAAGGCUUUAGGGUUGUAAAGCCCUUUGUCCGGAAAGAAAAGACACUGGAUUAAUACUUCGGUGUUCUGACGUACCGGAAGAAUAAGCACCGGCUAACUUCGUGGCCAGCAGCCG